AGUCACGGAGGGAGUGAGGGAGACUAAACAAUCCAGAAAACAAAAGGUGCUCAAUUUCUCGACUCCACCCUGCCGAAAUGUAUCUUUCGUAGUCUACCUUCAAUUUAUCAAUGGCGGAAACGAAUUAUCUACCUUAAAUCUCAUCUUCCAAUCAAUUGUGUUUCGGUAAUCUUGCCCCCUUCAAUUUCAAACUUCUUUGUCUGGUUGUUCGUCAAUUUUACGCAAUGGGCAGAAUAGUCGUAUGAUUUAUGGGCAAUUUUGAACCUUUAUGUCAUUUUCUUGCUCCAAUUUUCCCUAAUUUGUACCUGAUUUGUUUGUCUAUAUCAUCAAAAUUAGCAAUAAAAAAAGAGAACGAAAAAUUCCCAAUUCAAUUUGCAACCUAGGUUAACAUGUCAUCCAUUCCUGUAGAUGUGAUUACUGAUAUUCUUCUUAGAUUGCCGGCAAAAUCUUUGCUACGCUUCAAGAGUGUGUGCAAAUUAUGGUAUCAUAUAAUUGAGGGCACUGAUUUCAUCAAGCACCAUUUUCAACAAUCCAAUAAUCUGCAUUUAGUUUACAGGAGCCCUGUCCUUUAUAUGAGUGAUUUUGACUCAUUUGAUAAUACUAUUGAACUUGAUUACCCUUUCAAGAAUCUGAGUGGUGGUGUUUAUGUGGCGGGAUCGUGCCACGGCUUGCUUUGCUUCGCCAUGUUUUCUGACCCCUUCACAGUUUUCUUGUACAACCCCACUACGCAAAAACACAAAACCCUCCCAUUUUUGCCACGCAGACCCAUCUUUGGCAGGGGAAAUCUUGGGUUUGGUUAUGAUCACGUGUCAGAGGACUACAAGUGUGUUUGGAUAUUUCAGGUUAAAUCUGUUGAUGAAAUGGGUUCUUUCAACAGUCAAGUAAUGGUUUAUAGCUUGAGAGCGGAUUCAUGGAGACGGGGGGCUCAGGAUGUUCCAUAUUACUUUGAUUGCCACUCUGGUAAUAAUGUCGAUUUUGAUGGAAUUCUGCAUUGGUCAAUUGAUGAUAAUAGAGUGCCCCUUCCUAUAGUUACCUUUAAUCUCAGUGAUGAAAGUUUUAGCUCCGUACCCCUUCCUAACUUCCAAACAGAAAUGUUUACGGGCGCUCACACAGGAGUGCUUGAUGACUGCUUGUGUGUUAUGCUCAACUAUUUUGAACAUUAUGAUGUAUGGAUUAUGAAAGAGUAUGGCAGACCCGCAUCUUGGACUAAGCUGUUUAGGUUUCCGAAACAAGAGAUGAUGGAGGAGUGCAGUCCUCUUUAUUUCUCGAUGAUCAAGAAGCAAUUUUUUGUGACCUUUAACUUUCGUCAUGUUGCUUCUUUGGACUUGGAAACUUCGGAGAUUACGAAGGUUAAACUCCCUGGUUUCAACAGAGUUAUAUGUGCACAUGUAUGUCCGGAGAACCUUUUUAAGUUCAAGGAUGCUGAAGAUGUUCUUGUGGGCACGCAACAACAACGGAAAAAGAACAGCAAAAGGCAAAGGUUGAUGAGGAGAACUGAGAGGCUCUUACAACACCAUGAUUCAGUCUAUCGAUCAAUCUUUGGAAUGCAACGCCACAACGGCGCUGACCCAAAUGUAGGAUCUUGAACCUCAUCAUAUUUUCACAUUCCAACAGUAGAGGUGUUGGAGCUCAAUUACCUUUCAAGAAGUCGGAUGUUGAAAUCAGAAGAUGAAUCUGGAAUCUGGAAUCUGGAAUCUGGACGAUAAAUUUUGAUGGGAAUUCUUUGCAAUCUGGAUGAGUUACAACUCCUUCAACAUUCAUGGCUGUUGACAACUUUUUUUAUUUUUAAUGGGGCAUCUGAAUCUUCUACGAACUAUGCAUUUGAUGCUUCUGUCUCUUCCACAAAAAGUCAUGGGUACGACUUUAUAGGUCUGCCUGAGUAUGUAAGAUGUAGCCUUUAUCAGCUAGUUAAGUCCUUUAUUUACUGCUUAAGUAUAUUGGCGCCUUUAAUUUAAGCAUAUUGGCACCAA
This is an RNA transcript of Spinacia oleracea (spinach), 1970 nucleotides long. It is a transcript of the gene named F-box protein CPR1-like, with no coding region annotated. The transcript has 4 exons. NCBI's taxonomy places the organism in Eukaryota, Viridiplantae, Streptophyta, Magnoliopsida, Caryophyllales, Amaranthaceae. The record is from RefSeq and is a predicted model, not a curated record.